GGAGGGCAUGAUACCUUUUUGAUAUCAUUACAAUUUGUCAUCUCGGGCAAUGUUGAAGUAGCAGUUAAAUCAAGCAGGUCUGUAUCUCGUCCACCAAGCUCCGUAGGAGGGCAUGAUACUUUUUCAAUAUCAUUACAAUUUGUCAUCUCGGGCAAUGUUGAAGUAGCAGUUAAAUCAAGCAGACCUGUAUCUCGUCCAUCAAGCUCCGUAGGAGGGCAUGAUACUUUUUUGCUAUCAUUACAAUUUGUCAUCUCGGGCAACAUUGAAGUAGUAGUUAAAUCAAGCAGACCUGUAUCUCGUCCACCAAGCUCCGUAGGAGGGCAUGAUACUUUUUUGCUAUCAUUACAAUUUGUCAUAUCAGGCAACGUUGAACAAGUAGUUAAAUCAAGCAGACCUGUAUCUCGUCCACCAAGCUCUGUAGGAGGGCAUGAUACUUUUUCGCUAUCAUUACAAUUUGUCCUCUCGGGCAAUGUUGAAGUAGCAGUUAAAUCAAAUAGGCCUGUGCCACAUCCACCAACCUCCGUAGGACGGCAUGAUGCUUUUUCAAUAUCAUUACAAUUUGUCCUCUCGGGCAAUGUUGAAGCAGUUAAAUCAAAUAGGCCUGUGCCACAUCCACCAACCUCCGUAGGAUGGCAUGAUGCUUUUU
RNAcentral lists this long non-coding RNA (646 nucleotides) under Medicago truncatula (barrel medic). RNAcentral's name for it is "long non-coding RNA (MTRU_LNC002201)". Lineage: Eukaryota; Viridiplantae; Streptophyta; Magnoliopsida; Fabales; Fabaceae. The record is from RNAcentral.